GGAACUAGGAUUGGGGUGGGGUUCAUCCCACCCAGACCACAGAGACUGAAAAUAAGAAAGGGGUGAGGCCUAAGGGACAAUCAGGAUGUUUUUCAGAGAGAAGUGUGGAUGCUGGACAGGAAGAACCACAGAUACCAGAUACGGGUACUGUUGUAACUCUGUUCUCCAUGAAAAAAAAGGAAGAAUCAACACUUUCAGAGAUGGAGCCUGUUGAGCCACAGUACCAACUAGUCAAUGCUGAAUCGACUUCUCCCUUUCUACAUUGCCUGAGAGAAGUCAUUGGGGAAUACUCUGUACACGAAUUUUCACUGUUGGGGAAAACAGAGAGUCAAGGGAUUGGAUUGUGGAUUGCAUUGGUGGUUUUCCUCAGUUUCCUCAUCUUCUCCACAAGUUUCUACAUAUCGAAUGCAGAGCAGCCCUUCUUCAAAGGACCUCCUACGGAAGCUGCUAAGGAACUCAGUCUGUAGCUCUGCGUGGAGCCAUGUGUAAACACUGAACUGAGACCUGCCACCUCCUACUACCUAAGGGCCCAUUUUCAUCUGAUAUCAUCCCCCAGAAACAAACUCAUGAUGACUUCCAUGUUUUUUUUAGAUUAGAUACAUGGAGAAUUUUCCUUUCCCUUAGAAUUAAAAUCCUGCAUUCUAAUUUUCAAGUGAUGUUCCCAGGAGAAAUGAUAAUGCAGCAAUGGACAAGAACAGGAACAAGAGACAGUCUUACCAUCUUCUUACAAUUUAUAGAUGGGACAGUGGAAAGAGAAGCCACAUCGGGGUUGGGCAUGCAGAGACCUGGUCCUAAAUCUGUGUGACUUUUGCGAAAUCCUUUUGCCUCACAGAGCUCUAGGUUCUUAUCUGUCAAACAGGAACCAGACCAUCAGAUCCGUAGAGAUCCAACCAAUGAAGGAGACUUCGAAAACUUCACAUUGCCGUGUCAAUGUGAGGUUGCUGGAUGGUUAUGACAAGAAAUCACAUUAAAUUCACUGGGGUAACAUUGUUCAUGAAACGGGAUAAUGUGUUUCAGCGAUGAACCACCCAUGGCCUUACUACAGACAUAUUUCCACUUUGAAAAUGUGUGUGAGUGUACAUGUCUGUGUGUGAGGCAGAGAUUAGAAAGUGUAAAUGUGUGCGUUUUCAUUUUACACAUCUUACAUUUUCCUUUAAUUUGUUUGAAAGCCUGUUUUGUUUGUGGCUUCCAUUCCUGGAAGUCCCAUGAGUUGUUAGUGGUGAAGAUGGAACAGAUGUGUCCAACCCGGGGGACUCCUGCCCUCAGGGACUGAGCAGCUGCAAACCUCUCUCUCAUCUGAUUCCACUGUUUCUUCCACAUGUACACAUCAUGAGAAAUAUUGUUCAAUCAAUAUCUUCCCUUAAAUCAACUCAUAUGCUUAUUUACAUGAAUUUACCUAAAACAGAAACUUGAUAUCACUUCUGUAAAUGAAAAAAUUAAACUUUCUGGCUUUAAAUAAAGCAUAACAAUAAUAAUCAUGUCAAAA
RNAcentral lists this long non-coding RNA (1486 nucleotides) under Homo sapiens (human). RNAcentral describes it as "HSALNT0371355". Lineage: Eukaryota; Metazoa; Chordata; Mammalia; Primates; Hominidae. The record is from RNAcentral.